Molecule: ribosomal RNA, 263 nt
Filed under: uncultured bacterium
Lineage: Bacteria
Description: partial 16S ribosomal RNA
Rfam family: Bacterial small subunit ribosomal RNA
Source: RNAcentral
GUCCACGCCCUAAACGAUGUCAACUGGUUGUUGGGAGGGUUUCUUCUCAGUAACGAAGCUAACGCGUGAAGUUGACCGCCUGGGGAGUACGGCCGCAAGGUUGAAACUCAAAGGAAUUGACGGGGCCCGCACAAGCAGUGGAGCAUGUGGUUUAAUUCGAUGCAACGCGAAGAACCUUACCUGGGUUUGAAAGGCUCUGUAAACCGGUGAAAGCCGGCUAGUGUAGCAAUACACACGGAGUACAGGUGCUGCAUGGCUGUCGU